RNAcentral lists this ribosomal RNA (465 nucleotides) under uncultured bacterium. Its description in RNAcentral is "partial 16S ribosomal RNA". It matches the Rfam family "Bacterial small subunit ribosomal RNA", at positions 28 to 507 of the family's 1533-position model. The record is from RNAcentral.
GAUGAACGCUGGCGGCGUGCUUAACACAUGCAAGUCGAACGGACAGGCUCCUGCUUGCAGGGGUGCUCGAGUGGCGAACGGGUGAGUAACACGUGGGUGAUCUGCCCUGCACUUCGGGAUAAGCCUGGGAAACUGGGUCUAAUACCGGAUAGGACGAUGGUUUGGAUGCCAUUGUGGAAAGUUUUUCGGUGUGGGAUGAGCUCGCGGCCUAUCAGCUAGUUGGUGGGGUAAUGGCCUACCAAGGCGUCGACGGGUAGCCGGCCUGAGAGGGUGUACGGCCACAUUGGGACUGAGAUACGGCCCAGACUCCUACGGGAGGCAGCAGUGGGGAGUAUUGCACAAUGGGCGCAAGCCUGAUGCAGCGGCGCCGCGUGGGGGAUGACGGCCUUCGGGUUGUAAACUCCUUUCGCUAGGGACGAAGCGCAAGUGACGGUACCUGGAGAAGAAGCACCGGCUAACUACGUG